CUCCCACCCGUGUCUAUCGUACCUUGUUGCUUCGGCGGGCCCGCCGUUUCGACGGCCGCCGGGGAGGCCUUGCGCCCCCGGGCCCGCGCCCGCCGAAGACCCCAACAUGAACGCUGUUCUGAAAGUAUGCAGUCUGAGUUGAUUAUCGUAAUCAGUUAAAACUUUCAACAACGGAUCUCUUGGUUCCGGCAUCGAUGAAGAACGCAGCGAAAUGCGAUAAGUAAUGUGAAUUGCAGAAUUCAGUGAAUCAUCGAGUCUUUGAACGCACAUUGCGCCCCCUGGUAUUCCGGGGGGCAUGCCUGUCCGAGCGUCAUUGCUGCCCUCAAGCACGGCUUGUGUGUUGGGCCCCCGUCCCCCUCUCCCGGGGGACGGGCCCGAAAGGCAGCGGCGGCACCGCGUCCGGUCCUCGAGCGUAUGGGGCUUUGUCACCUGCUCUGUAGGCCCGGCCGGCGCCAGCCGACACCCAACUUUAUUUUUCUAAGGUUGACCUCGGAUCAGGUAGGGAUACCCGCUGAACUUAAGCAUAUCAAUAAGCGGAGGA
Molecule: ribosomal RNA, 541 nt
Filed under: Aspergillus fumigatus
Lineage: Eukaryota; Fungi; Ascomycota; Eurotiomycetes; Eurotiales; Aspergillaceae
Description: eukaryotic LSU rRNA
Rfam family: 5.8S ribosomal RNA (bases 160-313)
Source: RNAcentral